This 243-nucleotide ribosomal RNA is filed under the name uncultured bacterium. RNAcentral describes it as "partial 16S ribosomal RNA". It matches the Rfam family "Bacterial small subunit ribosomal RNA", at positions 534 to 776 of the family's 1533-position model. The record is from RNAcentral.
GCUAGCGUUGUUCGGAUUUACUGGGCGUAAAGCGCACGUAGGCGGAUCGUUAAGUCGGGGGUGAAAUCCUGGAGCUCAACUCCAGAACUGCCUUCGAUACUGGCGAUCUCGAGUCCGGAAGAGGUGAGUGGAACUCCUAGUGUAGAGGUGGAAUUCGUAGAUAUUAGGAAGAACACCAGUGGCGAAGGCGGCUCACUGGUCCGGUACUGACGCUGAGGUGCGAAAGCGUGGGGAGCAAACAGG